RNAcentral lists this small RNA (27 nucleotides) under Bombyx mori (domestic silkworm). Its description in RNAcentral is "ovarian small RNA-33983". Lineage: Eukaryota; Metazoa; Arthropoda; Insecta; Lepidoptera; Bombycidae. The record is from RNAcentral.
UGCGGGAGAGACUGACGAAGGGCAUGG